This 465-nucleotide ribosomal RNA is filed under the name Vreelandella stevensii. RNAcentral describes it as "partial 16S ribosomal RNA". It matches the Rfam family "Bacterial small subunit ribosomal RNA", at positions 338 to 795 of the family's 1533-position model. Lineage: Bacteria; Pseudomonadati; Pseudomonadota; Gammaproteobacteria; Oceanospirillales; Halomonadaceae. The record is from RNAcentral.
CCUACGGGGGGCAGCAGUGGGGAAUAUUGGACAAUGGGCGAAAGCCUGAUCCAGCCAUGCCGCGUGUGUGAAGAAGGCCUUCGGGUUGUAAAGCACUUUCAGUGGGGAAGAAAGCCUUGGGGCUAAUACCCUCGAGGAAGGACAUCACCCACAGAAGAAGCACCGGCUAACUCCGUGCCAGCAGCCGCGGUAAUACGGAGGGUGCGAGCGUUAAUCGGAAUUACUGGGCGUAAAGCGCGCGUAGGCGGUCUGAUAAGCCGGUUGUGAAAGCCCCGGGCUCAACCUGGGAACGGCAUCCGGAACUAUCAGGCUAGAGUGCAGGAGAGGAAGGUAGAAUUCCCGGUGUAGCGGUGAAAUGCGUAGAGAUCGGGAGGAAUACCAGUGGCGAAGGCGGCCUUCUGGACUGACACUGACGCUGAGGUGCGAAAGCGUGGGUAGCAAACAGGAUUAGAUACCCCGGUAGUC